AGCGAACGCUGGCGGCAGGCUUAACACAUGCAAGUCGAACGGGCGUAGCAAUACGUCAGUGGCAGACGGGUGAGUAACGCGUGGGAACGUACCUUUUGGUUCGGAACAACCCAGGGAAACUUGGGCUAAUACCGGAUAAGCCCUUACGGGGAAAGAUUUAUCGCCGAAAGAUCGGCCCGCGUCUGAUUAGCUAGUUGGUGUGGUAACGGCGCACCAAGGCGACGAUCAGUAGCUGGUCUGAGAGGAUGAUCAGCCACAUUGGGACUGAGACACGGCCCAAACUCCUACGGGAGGCAGCAGUGGGGAAUAUUGGACAAUGGGCGCAAGCCUGAUCCAGCCAUGCCGCGUGAGUGAUGAAGGCCCUAGGGUUGUAAAGCUCUUUUGUGCGGGAAGAUAAUGACGGUACCGCAAGAAUAAGCCCCGGCUAAC
This 429-nucleotide ribosomal RNA is filed under the name uncultured bacterium. RNAcentral describes it as "bacterial SSU rRNA". It matches the Rfam family "Bacterial small subunit ribosomal RNA", at positions 29 to 501 of the family's 1533-position model. The record is from RNAcentral.